This 252-nucleotide ribosomal RNA is filed under the name uncultured bacterium. RNAcentral's name for it is "partial 16S ribosomal RNA". It matches the Rfam family "Bacterial small subunit ribosomal RNA", at positions 524 to 776 of the family's 1533-position model. The record is from RNAcentral.
UACGGAGGAUGCGAGCGUUAUCCGGCUUUAUUGGGUUUAAAGGGUGCGUAGGCGGACUGUCAAGUCAGCGGUAAAAUACGGGGGCUCAACCUCCGCCCGCCGUUGAAACUGACGGUCUUGAGUACAGUAGAGGUGGGCGGAAUUCGUGGUGUAGCGGUGAAAUGCUUAGAUAUCACGAAGAACUCCGAUUGCGAAGGCAGCUUACCAAGCUACUUCUGACGUUGAGGCACGAAAGCGUGGGGAGCAAACAGG